RNAcentral lists this ribosomal RNA (206 nucleotides) under Escherichia coli. RNAcentral describes it as "partial 16S ribosomal RNA". It matches the Rfam family "Bacterial small subunit ribosomal RNA", at positions 1 to 214 of the family's 1533-position model. The record is from RNAcentral. Lineage: Bacteria; Pseudomonadati; Pseudomonadota; Gammaproteobacteria; Enterobacterales; Enterobacteriaceae.
AAAUUGAAGAGUUUGAUCAUGGCUCAGAUUGAACGCUGGCGGCAGGCCUAACACAUGCAAGUCGAACGGUAACAGGAAACAGCUUGCUGUUUCGCUGACGAGUGGCGGACGGGUGAGUAAUGUCUGGGAAACUGCCUGAUGGAGGGGGAUAACUACUGGAAACGGUAGCUAAUACCGCAUAAUGUCGCAAGACCAAAGAGGGGGAC